RNAcentral lists this ribosomal RNA (1068 nucleotides) under Triticum aestivum (bread wheat). RNAcentral describes it as "partial small subunit ribosomal RNA". Lineage: Eukaryota; Viridiplantae; Streptophyta; Magnoliopsida; Poales; Poaceae. The record is from RNAcentral.
AUGCCGGCAAGCCUGCGAUGCUGCCGCCGAGCUCCACCCGGACCAUGCCGGCCUCUCCUCCUUCUCACGCGCCCCUGCUGGUUCCUCCCCUCGCAUCCCCGAGCUCGCAGACCCCGCGCGCCCCUGCGGGCAAGUUCGCCGGAGACCCACCAGGCCGAUGCUCCCCUGCCUCGUCCUCGGCGCCUUGUUCCCGAGCUCCGAGUUUGCCUGCCUUGCCACCUCCCUCUUCACUCCCUAUUUUUCCUUCCUUACCUCACAUGUCCCUUCCCCUCCUUCUCUAACAGGAGCCCCGAUGCUGAUGCCAUGACCGCGCCGCUGCUGUCGAGAUCCCUCACCCUGGACUUAUCCAUUUUUGGCGUCCGCUCGCGCGGCCGUCAGCCGCGUCGCCGGAGGUCCUCGUCGGCUCCCCAUGCUGUUCCUGCAAGGCCUGCAACCAUUUUUGGCCUACUUUGCCUCGGCCUCGACCGAGAACGAGCAUUGCUGCUGCCUGCUCGAUUCGCACGCACGCACGGCUUCCACGUUGACCGGGUCUCUGCGCGUGGCCAGCCGGCCAUGCCAGGCCCAGCCGCUGGCUUGACACGACCCCUUUUGUUGGCCGCCAAGACCGCCUGGGGCUACCUUGUUUUGGUUCACCAGGUUCCGCAGCGAAACAUCUUCAUGGUCGACUACGUUUUGCAGUCCCGACCGGGACCAUCAAGUAUCAUGAUGUCCGUCGAUCGCCAUGUACCCCUUCGGAUACGCAAGUCCCUCGAAGGUCCACCGAUGCCUAGUACGACUACAGGACCGGAACGAAGUACCAUGAUGACCGUUGACAUGUACCACUACACCGCACCAAAACGUCAAGACCGUCACGGAUAUUGCCAAGUAUCACUUUGGUUUCGGAACGCGACGAGUACCACGACUAUCCUCGAGGACAUUGGUUCCAUCAGGUUCGACUACAACGUGUGUACAACUACCGCCGCCGUGAUUUUCGACAAGACGUCGUGUACCUCUACUUCCACUACGACUGUCGCAAGAACGGGACCGGAAAGUCCGAAGACCCCAAGUAUCACGACACCGAUGACAUGA